UCUACGCCUCUCUCUCUCUCUCUCUCUAUUCGGCAUCCCUCUCCCUCUCCCUCCCCGUCUCCACUACUCCUCUCCCCUCCCUCUCUCACUGCCGCUCUUCUUCGCCUUCGACGGAAACCGGAGCACCUCCUUCUCACGCCGCCGCCUCCUCCUCCUCCGCCGAUCUUCACAGAUCCACCGCUGUGAGAUCCAGAGGCUUCAUCGCUGAGAUGAACUUUGCUCCAUUGAUGCUCCGUCUCGCGGGCUAUGUCGGAAUUCACAGCUCCGGAUUCAAAGAUUUUCUUUUAAAGCUAGAGCUUCUGCGGGCUAUUGUGGACUCUGGAUUUGAGCAUCCAUCUGAAGGCAAGAUAUUUAUUCAUAUAGUCAUUCAAAUUCAUAAAUAGAUUUUUUAUGUCUUAGAAUAACUAUUAAUUUUGUUUUUCUUUCAUUCUUUCAGUUUUGGUCAUAAUGUCAUGUUCAUCUAUCUGUUGAUGUCUAGCUGUCUUCUUAGGCUUUUGUAGAAUUUAGAUUAAAGAAAAAUGAGCAUCUGUAAUUGAAACGCAUAAGCUUUGUACUUUCUGGUUGUGGUUGUCUUGGAUCUCCUAUUACUUAGUUUCACUUUGGUAAGUUUUAGAUAUUAUGGCUUAUUUUUAAAUAGAUAGUGAUUAUUAUUGUUGUUAUUUGCUGGUAUUGAAUAUGUUGACACAUUAUACUUAAUAUUUUCUUAAAAUCAUGGUCAGGGUAGCUGCCUAUUUUUUUUCUCCUUUCUUUCAUCUUCCAAUAUUUAUUUUUUAUUUUUUGACGAUUAGCUUCUUGGAUGUCAUAUGUCAAGCGAAAUCUGGGAUGGGGAAAACUGCUGUUUUUGUUCUGUCAACAUUGCAGCAAAUUGAGCCUGUUGCAGGUCAAGUUGCUGCCCUUGUUCUAUGUCAUACAAGGGAAUUAGCUUACCAGGCAUGUAUCUAAAUCGUAGGGCUUAAACCCUCAUCUAUUACUCUCUCUUCCUCAAACAACUCACACAGACAUAUAUGUAUGCAUAGACAAUCCAAUUUCUAUCUUAUUAGUUUUCUUUCUUUUUGGUGUUUAUCAUUACUGCAAAUCUGCCAUGAGUUUGAGAGGUUCAGCACUUAUUUGCCAGAUAUCAAGGUUGCUGUUUUCUAUGGCGGUGUCAAUAUUAAAAUUCACAAGGACCUACUGAAGAAUGAAUGCCCUCACAUUGAUGUUGGAACACUUGGAAGAAUACUGGCACUUGCUAGAGAAAAGGAUCUUUCUCUGAGGAAUAAUAUCGUUGAAUAUCUAGAAAAAUGUAGAGCUUUCUUCCAAUGCUUAAUAAUGAACUCCCUCAUCAGAGGAAUUCAACUCGCAAGCAACAGUUCAAU
This is a non-coding RNA of Camellia sinensis, 1355 nucleotides long. The record is from RefSeq and is a predicted model, not a curated record. NCBI's taxonomy places the organism in Eukaryota, Viridiplantae, Streptophyta, Magnoliopsida, Ericales, Theaceae.